ACUCAAAUGAAUUGACGGGGGCCCGCACAAGCGGUGGAGCAUGUGGUUUAAUUCGAUGCAACGCGAAGAACCUUACCUACUCUUGACAUGCUAGGGAUCCUGAAGAGAUUUAGGAGUGCCCGCGAGGGAACCUAGAGACAGGUGCUGCAUGGCUGUCGUCAGCUCGUGUCGUGAGAUGUUGGGUUAAGUCCCGUAACGAGCGCAACCCUUGUCCUUAGUUACCAUCAAGUAAAGUUGGGUACUUUAAGGAGACUGCCGGUGAUAAACCGGAGGAAGGUAGGGAUGACGUCAAGUCAUCAUGGCCCUUAUGAGUAGGGCGACACACGUGCUACAAUGGGAAGUACAGAGGGAAGCGAAACUGAGAAGUGAAGCCGAACCUAAAAAGCUUUUCGUAGUCCGGAUUGGAGUCUGGAACUCGACUCCAUGAAGUUGGAAUCGCUAGUAAUCGCAGAUCAGCACGCUGCGGUGAAUACGUUCUCGGGCCUUGUACACACCGCCCGU
RNAcentral lists this ribosomal RNA (501 nucleotides) under uncultured bacterium. Its description in RNAcentral is "partial 16S ribosomal RNA". It matches the Rfam family "Bacterial small subunit ribosomal RNA", at positions 899 to 1397 of the family's 1533-position model. The record is from RNAcentral.